GCAGUAGCUCAUCUGUAGAGCAGCUGCUUUGCAUGCAGAAGGUCCAUGGUUCAAUCCCUGGCAUCUCCA
Molecule: non-coding RNA, 69 nt
Organism: Podarcis lilfordi (Lilford's wall lizard)
Lineage: Eukaryota; Metazoa; Chordata; Lepidosauria; Squamata; Lacertidae
Source: the annotation of a GenBank genome assembly